RNAcentral lists this unclassified non-coding RNA (336 nucleotides) under soil metagenome. RNAcentral describes it as "partial contains 5.8S ribosomal RNA, internal transcribed spacer 2, and large subunit ribosomal RNA". The stretch from base 1 to 120 matches the Rfam family "5.8S ribosomal RNA", at positions 35 to 154 of the family's 154-position model. The record is from RNAcentral.
GAUGAAGAACGUAGCGAAAUGCGAUAAGUAAUGUGAAUUGCAGAAUUCCGUGAAUCAUCGAAUCUUUGAACGCACAUUGCGCCCCCUGGUAUUCCGGGGGGCAUGCCUGUCCGAGCGUCAUUUCAACCUUCAAGCGCGGCUUGUGUGUUGGGUCUCGUCCCCCGUGGACGGGCCCGAAAGGCAGUGGCGGCGUCCCGACAUGGUGCCCGAGCGUAUGGGAAUCCUCUUCCGCUCGAAUCGGCCCAUGCGGCGCUGGUCGUAACCAAAUUUUUUACCGGUUGACCUCGGAUCAGGUAGGGAUACCCGCUGAACUUAAGCAUAUCAAUAAGCGGAGGA